Molecule: small nucleolar RNA, 138 nt
Filed under: Ornithorhynchus anatinus (platypus)
Lineage: Eukaryota; Metazoa; Chordata; Mammalia; Monotremata; Ornithorhynchidae
Source: RNAcentral
CCCCUCUCAGGGUCGCACCUGGAGAGUUUCCAGUACUCUACCAGUCUUGGCUACUGGAAGGAGAGUCAAGCAAAGGCAUACCCAUUCCAUUACUAGGUUGGCCAGUGGCUAGUGAGUGGAAGGCAAUCUGCUACAAGU